RNAcentral lists this ribosomal RNA (492 nucleotides) under uncultured bacterium. Its description in RNAcentral is "partial 16S ribosomal RNA". It matches the Rfam family "Bacterial small subunit ribosomal RNA", at positions 29 to 507 of the family's 1533-position model. The record is from RNAcentral.
AGUGAACGCUGGCGGUGGGCCUAACACAUGCAAGUCGAACGGCAGCACAGUAAGAGCUUGCUCUUACGGGUGGCGAGUGGCGGACGGGUGAGGAAUACAUCGGAAUCUACUUUUUCGUGGGGGAUAACGUAGGGAAACUUACGCUAAUACCGCAUACGACCUACGGGUGAAAGCAGGGGAUCUUCUGACCUUGCGCGAUUGAAUGAGCCGAUGUCGGAUUAGCUAGUUGGCGGGGUAAAGGCCCACCAAGGCGACGAUCCGUAGCUGGUCUGAGAGGAUGAUCAGCCACACUGGAACUGAGACACGGUCCAGACUCCUACGGGAGGCAGCAGUGGGGAAUAUUGGACAAUGGGCGCAAGCCUGAUCCAGCCAUACCGCGUGGGUGAAGAAGGCCUUCGGGUUGUAAAGCCCUUUUGUUGGGAAAGAAAAGCAGCAGGUUAAUACCCCGCUGUUCUGACGGUACCCAAAGAAUAAGCACCGGCUAACUUCGUG